UUUUCUUUUUUUUUUUUCUUUUUUUUUUCUUUUCCCAAUAUGAGCCCUUCAAUAAUAGGUUCCAAGGAAUAAGAUAAUGUGAUGUUUUCAGUACUGCACUCACCAUACUGGGUAUUUUGGAUCUUUCGGUUUGUAAAAUAGUAACACAACCUCAAUCUUUUCUAGCCCGCAUGUGAAAAAAAUGCUCAGUAGUUUCUUGUGCGUGCUGCUGUUUAAUGACAAGCUUGACUAAGACAACACCACACUGAGAACUACUUCUUUGAGGAGGCUGGCAUGUUGCUGGCCAUCUCCCUACACCAGUUUACCGUGGGACCAGACACAGACCACAGCUAGCACAAGGGAGAUUACAUACAAGAGGGGAAGUGCAAAGACACUUCUUUUCAUGGCAUCUGGUUAUUUUAUCAGCUUUACUGCAAUUUGAAGCCACAGCCUCAGACACAGUAGAACCAGUGUUGUCCCAAGUGCAGCAGUAGUGGUUUCCUAUGAGCAACAGAGAUGGUGGGACAGUCACCAGGCAACCUGUGUGGAAGAGGAGGCCAAAGAAAAAGUAUUACAAGUACUCUUGUCACGGUUGUGUAGACUGUGUACAUUGAACAAGGUGGACCGGUGGCUCAGAAGUAUUAAUUAUGUAAAUAAGGAAGAAACGGUGCACUGUCAAUGUGCAAUUUUCCGUGGCUGUUGUUCUUUUUUCUGUGAUCCUUUCUGUCUUCUCUGUCUUCUGUAUUUCUGUCAGGACAUUGUAAAUCUCUCAAAUUAUUAAUGUGUUCUGUAACUUUCUCCAUUAGAAGAAUUCAGCAUCUUAAUCCUCAAUUAUGGACUCUUUUGCAUUCUUUCUUUUAAAGCAGAUACUGAAUUACUGCUGCUCCUGGCAGGUCUUCAGCUUGUUUGGAGACUGUCUGUGCUGUUGUAUAUGCAUUAAUCGUUUCUAAAACUAGUAGAUUCUCCAGGACUAUGCUUCAGAAGCCUGUGAAGAAACUGGUUCCUGCAGGCACUGACCCCAGGCUUCUGCUGUGACUAUGUUUGGAGGAGUUUCUCCCCUUGCUGGAAAGAAAACACCAAGAGGCUUUUAGUAAAGCAAAAUAAAGGCAUCUCUGCUCGUGUGAAUGCUCACCCAUGAACGCAACAGAGCAACGCGUGUGAACCACAGAAUUUGUUUCUCUACUUUUCUCACAAUCAUUCAUACUGUCACCUUUUUCAAUGUAUUGAUCUGCUUUUUCUGUAAACAGUGACCCCUUGUGAAGGGGUAAAUUCAGCUUGGAAGUAAUGUCUAGUAAUGUCUAGUCUCUGAUAUGCCUUUUUUCAAGGCUCACUGUGCUGAGGAAAAGGAUAUUUUAAAAAGCAGACUUUGAAUGAUGCUUUAUUCAUUACACUAAAUAGCUUAUUCAUUUACUAAUCUGACCACUUCUGACUACUGCUCGUUCAUUGUAUUCUCUCUGACUUGUGAAGGAAGAAAACAGAGACAAGUAGACUGUGUUGUCUGUGCCUGGCAAUUAUGUGCACAUCAGUGGUGGCAGGACCAGCGGAAGUUCAAAUCCUUCUCUGAUGUAUUCCAUUAAUUCAAGUAACUGCUUUGUAUGAAAAUGCACAUAGGGCAGCACUUAGCACACACAGUUCAGAGCCAGGAAGGCUGAGGCAUUCAGCUGUAGAUGUACUCAGUUACUUUCUGCCAUCACCUUUCCUCCCACAAAAUCCAAACUACUCAUGGAUCCAGAUUGUUGCUUUUUUUCUGGAAAAAUGACAUGUCACCAAGAUCUUUCCAAUGGCAAGAAUAGCUUUUGUUUGUUGUUGAUUCUUUCAAGAAUCUUUUACAACAAAAAACAAAUGCUUCAUUUUCCUUCAGAAGAGAAAAUUGUGUGGAGGAGGAGAACUUACGUAAGAAGCAGUGCUGCUCCAAAAAUGUCAAACACACAUUUGUUCUUCGGAACAAAAAUUGGAAUUUUCUGUUUUAUAUUCCUGGUAAGCCUCCAGAUACAGUAUUUUAAUUAGAAGUAAGUGACUUUAGGUGACCAAGACAGAAACUGGACCAUGCAACAAGUGUUCUUCCUGGAGAGACGUCACUUUCAAAGUCCAUUAAGACCACCAUGAAAAUCUCUGUGGCCAUUUCAAUGUCUUGCUUUGUUACCAAAUCUGCUCACUUCUUAAACUAACUAGCCAGUUCAAUCAUUGCUUCAUUUUGGAAUGGGAAAAUAUUUAUUUAACAACAAAACUGGGGAAUAGUACUUAUUUUUAAAAAGUCUACAAACACCAGUACAUAUGAAAGUGUAUGACUACUGAUGAACAAAGCUUUUGUGCCAAAGAAAACAAGGAACAAAGAAAACAAGGAUUUAACAUACUGUUCCUGCUUUGCUACAUAGAUCUUGUGCUGCAAAUUUGGAGUUACAGAACUGAAGUGAUUGUAGAGUUUGUAUGAUCUGCAGUUCAAGGUUCUUCCUCAGGGAAUAAUUCUAAGAAGAUAUUAAUAAAAUUGGAAGAAAUUACUAAGGUAUUAUAAGGAGACCAAACUGUAUUUGCACCUGCAGUGCAGUCAGGACAGCAAAGUGAGCAGCUGAGGGCUGGCAUUCCCCUUUCAGAAGGCAGACAAUUGUGGCUGGUAAUCCCCUGAACUGCCACUGUAGGGUUUGGUAAAGCUUAUAAAGCUUCUCUGGCAGAGCCCUUCAUGCUCAACCACCUUAAAAGUUUAAGAAAGGGAUCUUUUCACAAGAUGGGAAACAGUCCAAAUCCAGUCCUAACUCAGUCCUUUAUGUCACACAGAACUUGGCAGAGCUUGGUAGAAGGGAAUAAAGGAGAACCACAUAAGAACCUCAGGAAAAAAAAAUAAUAAUUGUUCUGCUUUCCCUUUACAUCUGUUCCCUAGCCUUUAAUCAUUCAUUAUCAGCUGUAGUUCUGGUAUGAUUAUUAUCAGGUAUCCAUUCUAGAAAGUAAAGCAUAAUGGUAAUGAAUAACAUGGAUCUAUUGUUUAAGCAAAUGUUCAUGAUUCUCUACUCAGUGACUUAAAGAAUACAAAACUUUUUCCAUUCCUUCAAGCAGGGUUAUUUAUUUUAUAUGCUAUAGAGAAAUGUUUACAAAUUAAUCCUUUUUUACAAGUGGAAAAAUUUUGCAUGUUUGUGUCUCUCUUCCAUAUGAUAAUGAAAAUAAACCUUUUGUUAUUUUGUAGUUGUUCUUAUUUCAUGAUAACACAGAAAGAAACCUGGCAUGUUGACUACGGUUCAUUAGGGA
Molecule: RNA transcript, 3216 nt
Organism: Phasianus colchicus (ring-necked pheasant)
Lineage: Eukaryota; Metazoa; Chordata; Aves; Galliformes; Phasianidae
Source: RefSeq, a predicted model, not a curated record